RNAcentral lists this ribosomal RNA (249 nucleotides) under Triticum aestivum (bread wheat). RNAcentral's name for it is "partial small subunit ribosomal RNA". The record is from RNAcentral. Lineage: Eukaryota; Viridiplantae; Streptophyta; Magnoliopsida; Poales; Poaceae.
AUGGCGCUCUCUGGUCGCAUGGCCGCAUCCGCCCUCCUCCUGCUCCUCCUCCUCCUCGCCACAGAGAUGGGGACGCCGACGAGGAAGGUGGCGGAGGCGCGGGACUGCCUGUCCAAGAGCCACAAGUUCAAGGGCGCGUGCCUCAGCAGCAGCAACUGCGCCAGCAUCUGCCGCACCGAGAACUUCCCCGGCGGCGAGUGCAAGCUCGACUCCUUCGCGCGCAAGUGCUUCUGCAAGAGGGUCUGCUAG